This 324-nucleotide ribosomal RNA is filed under the name uncultured bacterium. RNAcentral's name for it is "bacterial SSU rRNA". It matches the Rfam family "Bacterial small subunit ribosomal RNA", at positions 28 to 334 of the family's 1533-position model. The record is from RNAcentral.
GAUGAACGCUGGCGGCGUGCUUAACACAUGCAAGUCGAACGGAGCGCCUAUGAAGGAGAUUUCGGUCAACGGAUUAGGUUGCUUAGUGGCGGACGGGUGAGUAACGCGUGAGGAACCUGCCUUUCAGAGGGGGACAACAGUUGGAAACGACUGCUAAUACCGCAUAACACAUAGGUGUCGCAUGGCAUUUAUGUCAAAGAUUUAUCGCUGAAAGAUGGCCUCGCGUCUGAUUAGCUAGUUGGUGAGGUAACGGCUCACCAAGGCGACGAUCAGUAGCCGGACUGAGAGGUUGGCCGGCCACAUUGGGACUGAGAUACGGCCCAG